GACGAACGCUGGCGGCGUGCUUAACACAUGCAAGUCGAACGGAAAGGCCCUGCUUUUUGUGGGGGCGCGAGUGGCGAACGGGUGAGUAACACGUGAGUAACCUGCGCUUGACUUUGUGAUAACUUCAGGAAACUCGGGCUAAUACCGGGGAUAAUCUCCUGCUUCAUGGUGGGGGUUGGAAAGUUUCGGCGUUUGGGGAUGGGCUCGUGGCGUAGCAGCUUGUUGGUGUGGUAGUGGCUUAGCAAGGCUUUGACGGGUAGCCGGCCUGAGAGGGUGACAGGCCAAAUUGGGACAGAGAUAUGGCCGAGACUGCUGCGGGAGGUAGUAGUGGGGAAUAUUGAACCAGGGGCGGCAGCGUGAUGUAGCAAAGGCGCGUGUGGGAUGUCGGCCCCUCGGUCGCAAACCGUUUUGGCGUGUGACGAAGUGUUAGUGACGGUAAUGGGUAAAGAAGCACCGGCUAACUACGUG
This 468-nucleotide ribosomal RNA is filed under the name uncultured bacterium. RNAcentral's name for it is "partial 16S ribosomal RNA". It matches the Rfam family "Bacterial small subunit ribosomal RNA", at positions 28 to 507 of the family's 1533-position model. The record is from RNAcentral.